UAGACUCAAAGUCCUCAUUGAGCA
RNAcentral lists this non-coding RNA (24 nucleotides) under Mus musculus (house mouse). The record is from RNAcentral. Lineage: Eukaryota; Metazoa; Chordata; Mammalia; Rodentia; Muridae.